Molecule: ribosomal RNA, 400 nt
Filed under: uncultured bacterium
Lineage: Bacteria
Description: bacterial SSU rRNA
Rfam family: Bacterial small subunit ribosomal RNA
Source: RNAcentral
UGGGGAAUUUUGGACAAUGGGCGAAAGCCUGAUCCAGCCAUACCGCGUGAGUGAAGAAGGCCUUCGGGUUGUAAAGCUCUUUCAGCCGGAAAGAAAUCGCAUCUCCUAAUACGAGGUGCGUAUGACGGUACCGGAAGAAGAAGCACCGGCUAACUACGUGCCAGCAGCCGCGGUAAUACGUAGGGUGCGAGCGUUAAUCGGAAUUACUGGGCGUAAAGCGUGCGCAGGCGGUUUUUUAAGCCAGAUGUGAAAUCCCCGGGCUUAACCUGGGAACUGCAUUUGGAACUGGAAGACUAGAGUGUAGCAGAGGGGGGUAGAAUUCCACGUGUAGCAGUGAAAUGCGUAGAUAUGUGGAGGAAUACCGAUGGCGAAGGCAGCCCCCUGGGUUAACACUGACGCU